UCAAACAUGGAAUUAAAACUACCCUGAGCUACUAUUUCUCAUCUAACAAAUUGGAAAAAUUUACAAGUUCAACCAUUUAGUCUAUUGGCAAGGCUGCAGGAAAAAAUCUUGCUAAUGGGAGUUCAGAAUGGUACAGCUUUUUUGGAGGGGAAUUUGGCAUUAUCUAAUUACAUAUUUAUUAAAGGAUAAAUAUGGUGAAGCAGUCAUCUUCGUUGAGAAACUUUCAAGAAUAUCAGAAAACAUGUACACAGUAAUUCACUAGGCUAUAACGUGAAAUAGCUAAGCACAGAAAACAACCUACAUGCCGAACCAUAGAAAAUGGCUGAAUAAAUUAUGGUAGACCCACAUAAUGGAAUAGAUGCAGCUAUAAAAAGGAAUGAAGAUGUUCCAAUAACAGUGAUUGUCAACAUUUAUCAUUAAGUGAACGAAGGAAGGGUUGCCAGCAGUGAGUGUCCCUAUGGCCCUCUCCAACCAAGGGUUGCCAAUAGGACUGCAGUUUAUUGGACGUGCAUUUUGUGACCAGCAGCUUCUUACAGUUGCCAAAUGGUUUGAAAAACAAGUACAGUUUCCUGUUAUUCAACUUCAAGAAAUAAUGGGUGAUUGUUCAUCAGUCUUUGAAAAUGACUUAGCUUCUGUUUCUCUAAAACAGUAGUGACAAGUAUAUCAUGCAAACUAAAAUGACUUAAAGAUUUUUAUAUUCUAGAAAAGUCAAAUGAUCUUGCUAAGCUCUUGCACUUUGGUUCAUUGUCAACAUACUCAUUCCUUGGAACCAUUGUCUAAAAUUCUUGUAAUAUAGUUAACUAUAUGUAAUCUGCCAGCAUUUAUUAAGCAUCUGCUAAAUGCAGAGUACAGGAUUUCUACUGUAACACAAGACACAUGUUCCUGAAAAACGAUGCAUUUUUCAAAAAUGUCCAUUAAAAACAACAGCUUAUUUACUUUA
Molecule: long non-coding RNA, 940 nt
Organism: Myotis davidii
Lineage: Eukaryota; Metazoa; Chordata; Mammalia; Chiroptera; Vespertilionidae
Exons: 2
Source: RefSeq, a predicted model, not a curated record